This 413-nucleotide long non-coding RNA is filed under the name Vulpes vulpes (red fox). RNAcentral describes it as "lncRNA (ENSVVUG00000012319.1)". The record is from RNAcentral. Lineage: Eukaryota; Metazoa; Chordata; Mammalia; Carnivora; Canidae.
UCUCUACUUUUGUAUAGUUCAGGAAAGGAAGAAUGAUACAAUUAUGAGAGUAGCUUAUGUAGUAGUUUGCAGAAAAGCACACAAAAGAGUAAGUGCUAUAUGAUACAAGGGAGCUUUGUCCUCAUUUACACUGAAGCCUAGGCUCUGCUUUGAUGCUUUCAUGUUUGUUGGAGAAAAUCCACACACCUGCUUUUGCACGUACAAGUCAAUGGAGAAUCAGAGCAGAGUUCCAUGUGGGUCACAGUUUGGGUAUCUAUGACGGAAGUAAGACUGAACUGAAGUUUGCAACUAAGUGUUUUCUCUGUAAUAUUUCCAAUAUAUAUUUUGUAUAUGUGAGUGUGUCUGUGUGUAUUUUUCUUUUAUCCACAUAAGGAUUUUCUUGAAAAUAUUGAAGGCAGUUUACUUUCAUCGGA